GCCAGGCGUGGUGGCGCACGCCUGUAAUCCCAGCUACUCAGGAGGCUGAGGCAGGAGAAUUGCUUGAAGCUGGGAGGCAGAGGUUGCAGUGAGCCGAGAUCGCACCACUGCACUCUAGCCUGGGUGACAGAGCGAGACUCUGUCUCCA
This 148-nucleotide non-coding RNA is filed under the name Pan troglodytes (chimpanzee). The record is from Rfam by way of RNAcentral. Lineage: Eukaryota; Metazoa; Chordata; Mammalia; Primates; Hominidae.